CACCGCGGUUAUACGAGAGGCCCUAGUUGAUAUGCUCGGCGUAAAGAGUGGUUAUGGGAGCACAACACUAAAGCCAAAGACCCCUCCAGCAGUUAUACGCACUCAGAGAUUCGAAGCACCAGCACGAAAGUCGCUUUACCCCACCCACCAGAACCCACGAUAGCCGGGAAA
This 171-nucleotide ribosomal RNA is filed under the name Ilisha melastoma. RNAcentral's name for it is "partial small subunit ribosomal RNA". The record is from RNAcentral. Lineage: Eukaryota; Metazoa; Chordata; Actinopteri; Clupeiformes; Pristigasteridae.